Molecule: transfer RNA, 72 nt
Filed under: Penaeus monodon (black tiger shrimp)
Lineage: Eukaryota; Metazoa; Arthropoda; Malacostraca; Decapoda; Penaeidae
Description: tRNA-Pro
Rfam family: tRNA
About the family: Transfer RNA (tRNA) molecules are approximately 80 nucleotides in length. Their secondary structure includes four short double-helical elements and three loops (D, anti-codon, and T loops).
Source: RNAcentral
GGUCUGAUGGUCUAGGGGUAUGAUUCUCGCUUAGGGUGCGAGAGGUCCCGGGUUCAAAUCCCGGUCAGGCCC